RNAcentral lists this transfer RNA (87 nucleotides) under Amycolatopsis sp. NBRC 101858. Its description in RNAcentral is "tRNA-Thr". Lineage: Bacteria; Bacillati; Actinomycetota; Actinomycetes; Pseudonocardiales; Pseudonocardiaceae. The record is from RNAcentral.
UCUGCGCGUGGGGCGCGGGCGCGCCGGCGGUGGUGCUGCCGGGCGGGGCGUACCGGAACCUGCCGCGGUUCGCGGCCGAGCGCGGGC